RNAcentral lists this small RNA (29 nucleotides) under Bombyx mori (domestic silkworm). RNAcentral's name for it is "ovarian small RNA-955". Lineage: Eukaryota; Metazoa; Arthropoda; Insecta; Lepidoptera; Bombycidae. The record is from RNAcentral.
UUUAUCGAAGGGCAGGCCAAAAGUGGCCC